AAAGACCUAAGGAAUUUCAACCAAGGAACGAGCACUUCUCUGAUAAAGGAGGCUUUUGGCAGCUGGGGAUUUCUGCACAGAAGCCAUCUCUGAGACACCCCUAUGACUGGAGCUGCAAAAGGUGAUGGCAAAAGGUUUGGCACUGCACUGGCUGUAAUGCUUCUGGGGAUGUGCUGGAGGGAAGUCCUUGGCCAGGGAGAAGUGUGAAGUAACACUGGAAGAUUCUCUCGGAGGAGGACUGAAGAGGCUGUAGCAUUUCUAGUGAGUGUUUACAUCCACUUCUCCAGACAACAAGCAAACACAGAAAUGAUCAAAGGAGUUGAUACAUAUCUGAGGGACUGCCAUCCACAAUUAUCAAGACAACUAUGUGCUUUCUUCAAGGUUAGGAGAUGGACCAGAUGAAUAUAUUAGGUGGCUGAAAUCCCUGAAGCUGUGACGAAGUGUACAAGUUAUUACAAGCUUUGGUGGCUAGCUUCUUUGGCUAAUGGAUUACACAGUGAACUGCCUGAAUCUGUUACACGUCUGUGAACACUGUUUCCCUAGAUUGCAAUACCAGCCCAAUUCUUUGGUCUGCUGGAAGUCAUCCUAAGAGGUUACUUGACAUCGGCCUCAGGAAUGCCUUGUGGAACUUCAGCACUCAGCUCUUACUCCAUCAUCACAGCCUUGCAGAGAGGGGUGGAUGGCUGCAUCUGGGAGUCCAUCUAAAGUCGAACAGCCCACCACCUCAUCUUUCACCAGAGUCAGCAGGGAGCACAGGAUGUAAUUGUUGUGCAUUCUCUGAAUGGCAGCCCCCAAGAAUUCCCCCCAAGAUGAUCUAGUGAAGACCAGUGUGUGUCAGGAAGAGAAUACUUACUAGAGAUCUUAGGAAGACCCACCUGACAGGAAUGAUGGUGAGAAGUCUCGACUGUGUCCACUAGAAACAAGAACAAAUGAUGGAAAGGAGUGGAAGACAUGAACUUCCAGGACUAACAACUGCACUAUCUGCACAGAUUUCUGCUACUUGAGCUAAUAGAGUGCCACUACCAGCCACGGGUUGUCAUCCUCUGAGUAAAGCACUCCCAGAAGAGGAUUGCUGAUGGUCACUGGUGAGAAACACAAACUGAGGUUUUGCUUGUUGGCUGGGGUGACAAAAAAACUUUCUUGAGAUAUUCUUGAGAUGUCCUUUGGAGAGCUACCAAGACACUGUUAAUAAACAGCUUCCAAAAAGCUGUGUUAGAGACAGGAGGAUGUUGCUGCAGUUUCCAUGUGUCUGUGUGACCAACAGAAAAUAUGCUGUCCUGGAAUUCUUCUAGCAGUGAAUUUGCUGUUCAGCGCCAGCACCAGAGAGAGAGGCUGUGUUCCCUUCCCCUGCAGCUCUUGUGCCCAUGCUGCCUGCCUCUACAGGGAAUGAUUGGACUCUAACAACAGGUCUGGCAGAAGUUCCAGCCCAUGUCAGUGAACUGAAUAACUCUCUCUUCUGAAAUAAAAAAUCCAAUACUUUUUGUUUCUUACUGUGUCUUUAAGCCUGUUAAGCAAUGGUAUUUUCCUCACAUAGACUUUUAACAGGAAACCAAAAUUGGAUUUUUUUUAAAAAAAUGAAAGCCUUACUUUUCUUAAUUCUGAAUAUUUUUAUUCUUUCCCCCCCCCUUAUUUUUUUCUAUCUUUAAUAAAGGGAUUAAAAGAUUUGGUGUGGCUUAUGUUACCACAGGAAUAGACAAGCAUUUGAAAUCUCAAACUCUAGUCAAAACUUGUUUAGCAAUAUAGUUUUGUUACAGUGACACAGUACCUUUAAUUCAUUUGACCCUCUGGAUCUGUUUAUUCUACUCAAAUUUGACUCAGCAAAGUUAAAUCCCCUUAUAUCAUUCUGCAAGACAACUCAUUUUAUGUUUGGAUAGAAACAGCCAAAGCUGCACAAUCAACUCCCCCCAACAUGCCAGUUUGCACUAGUGUGGCUGAACGGAAAAAGAAAUUGCAGUGGCUUUAUAGAAAUGCACCUAAUUUCUAUGGGAUGCUCAGUGAAUAUCAGAACAAUAGAUGGUGUAUUAACUACUAUGUCUGCUCUUUUUCCUUGGCAUAGGUAGUAUUUUUAUGUAAGAGGAUGGCAGCCUACUCUCAUUACAUUAAGCAAAAUUCUUCAAUGGAUACCAUGAAGUAAUAUUUUUUUUUUUUACUUAUUUUUACUUGGUCUUUAGGAAACUGUGGUCUUUAGCAAGCUCUGGAACAAAAUCUAAAAAACAGGGCAUUUUUUGUGUUUGAAAUGUCUCCAUAUGAUUGCAAAUAAUAAAAUUAUGGAAAUAAUUACUCUAUAUCAUCCAAUCAGCAUGAUUUACUCUUCCCUCUUGCUAUAUACUUUUGUGUGCAGAUUUUAUUGUGUCUCUGUUUUGGUUUUAAUAUUUAUAUGUAUUUAUUAACAAGCAAAACAGAGAGCAACCAGUUUUUUAAGGAUGUACUGGAGUGAACCACUACAGGCAAGUUACAUUUAUUUCCAUGUUCAGAAUAUGGAAGGCUAGCAAGGGAUACCUCUUUGCACCUAAAUAUUUUAAGUCCAUUGGAAAAGAAUUACAGGUUGGUCAAAUAAGGUUUUUCUUAUCUUUUUUUUUUCCUUUCACCCCCAUUUUGUGUUAAGCAUUAGAACCUGUUAAAAACAGCCCAUUACCUUAUGCCUUAAAGCAGUUCUUUCCCUGUUGCAGAGAAAUCUGCUUGAAAUGUGUUCUGUCUUUAUGAUCUCCAGGCUCUAGCCUGGCCAAACAGAUGGAGUGUUUCUACCUGGGCUGUCACUUUGUUUUCCUCUUCUCUCCAUGAGCUAAACCUUGCUCCCUAUGCAACCUGAGGGGAAGGACUUUUAACACAACAUAGAACAACAUCCUUGGCUGAGCAGGUUCCAGAGAGAGCCCAAAAGCUCUCGGUACUCUUCGGUUCCAAUACACCAGCUCUCAUGGAACCCAAAGUGUAGGUGCACAUCUGCCUUGUUUCCUUCCACUGCUUGAUUACAGCAUUUCCAGCCUCUGCCAAGAUGGUGAUGGCCACAGGACUGCAGCCUGAAGAGGGAAGGACUGAAAUCCGGCUUUCAUCAAGACCAACGCGUACAUGAGAGGCAAUCACUGGUUGCUUAACAGAAGUGAAAAAGAAUGCACUUUUGGUCCUGGACUGUUCUUUGUAAUUUAAUGUGAUCUGCUGUCAACAAGAGGCGAAAUAAACCUCUGACACUCACUAAAGUUUCACACUAGAGAAGUGAGAAGAUAUCACCUGGGACUUCCUUUCCAUGUACAUUCACCUACUACCAUCGCUACUGAAUCUGAUACUGGCUCACUGAGAUCAUCAUUUGCAACAGAGCAUCUACUUGGUUCCUUCUCAGGUGAUCUCUGUAUUGCUAUUUUCCUGUGUUGACACCUAUUGGAGAAACGAUUUAUACUAGUUUCAGAAACCAUCUCAUUUGAUGAUCUUAUUACUUGCUAUUAUCCCUCACAAAUGUGUUACUUACUGUAUUUCUGCAGUUUCCAUCUAUUAAAACUAAUCAAACAUGCUUCAGUUACUGGCUGUUUCCCCACAUACCCUUUCUAAUGGUGUUUUUGACACUUUUUUGCCUUAGAGAACCUGUAACAUCCUCCUUAGCUUUAAUUCUGGAACCCGUUUCAUCAUUCACACUUGCAUGUUCUCA
Corapipo altera (White-ruffed manakin) is the source of this 3637-nucleotide long non-coding RNA. RefSeq lists it as uncharacterized. The transcript is spliced from 12 exons. The record is from RefSeq and is a predicted model, not a curated record. Lineage: Eukaryota; Metazoa; Chordata; Aves; Passeriformes; Pipridae.